GACGAACCGAGCGAACGUUAUUCGGAAUCACUGGGCUUAAAGGGCGCGUAGGCGGGCCGUCAAGUCGAGGGUGAAAUCCCCCAGCUCAACUGGGGAAGUGCCUCCGAUACUGGCGGCCUCGAGGGGGAUAGGGGCAUGCGGAACUUCCGGUGGAGCGGUGAAAUGCGUAGAUAUCAUCAGGAAUACCGGAGGCGAAGGCGGCUCACUGGGGGUUUUCUGACGCUGAGGAACGAAAGCCAGGGGAGCGAACGGG
Molecule: ribosomal RNA, 253 nt
Filed under: uncultured bacterium
Lineage: Bacteria
Description: partial 16S ribosomal RNA
Rfam family: Bacterial small subunit ribosomal RNA
Source: RNAcentral